AUUGAACGCUGGCGGAAUGCUUUACACAUGCAAGUCGAACGGUAGAGGGGGCAACCCCCUUGAGAGUGGCGAACGGGUGAGUAAUAUAUCGGAACGUGCCCAGUCGUGGGGAUAACGUAGCGAAAGUUACGCUAAUACCGCAUACGAUCUAAGGAUGAAAGCGGGGGACUCGCAAGAGCCUCGCGCGAUUGGAGCGGCCGAUAUCAGAUUAGGUAGUUGGUGGGGUAAAGGCUCACCAAGCCAACGAUCUGUAGCUGGUCUGAGAGGACGACCAGCCACACUGGAACUGAGACACGGUCCAGACUCCUACGGGAGGCAGCAGUGGGGGAAUUUUGGGACAAUGGACGCAAGUCUGAUCCAGCCAUUCCGCGUGCAGGAUGAAGGCCCUCGGGUUGUAAACUGCUUUUGUACGGAACGAAACGGUGAGCUCUAAUACAGUUGCUAAUGACGGUACCGUAAGAAUAAGCACCGGCUAACUACGUGCCAGCAGCCGCGGUAAUGU
RNAcentral lists this ribosomal RNA (502 nucleotides) under uncultured bacterium. RNAcentral describes it as "bacterial SSU rRNA". It matches the Rfam family "Bacterial small subunit ribosomal RNA", at positions 30 to 526 of the family's 1533-position model. The record is from RNAcentral.